AGAGCAGGAUGGAUGAUCGCUGCCAUGCAGACGAAAGGGCAUGGGAGAGGAAAGUCCGGGCUUCGCAGGGCAGGAUGCCAGAUAACGUCUGGUGGAGGUGACUCCCAGGAUAGUGCAACAGAGAGAUACCGCCUGACUUAUGUCAGGUAAGGGUGGAAAGGCAGUGUAAGAGACUACCGUGCUGGUGGUAACAUCAGUAGCCAUGUAAACCCCAUCCGAAGCAAGACCGAAUAGAGAGCAAUGAACCGGCCCGGUUCGCUUUCAGGUGGGUCGCUUGAAACUGUCGGUGACGGCAGUUCUAGAUAGAUGAUCAUCUUAGAAGACAUAACCCGGCUUAUAGUCCUGCUCAUUUU
This is a non-coding RNA of Butyrivibrio hungatei, 353 nucleotides long. It matches the Rfam family "Bacterial RNase P class A". Rfam says of the family: Ribonuclease P (RNase P) is a ubiquitous endoribonuclease, found in archaea, bacteria and eukarya as well as chloroplasts and mitochondria. The record is from Rfam. Lineage: Bacteria; Bacillati; Bacillota; Clostridia; Lachnospirales; Lachnospiraceae.